This 382-nucleotide long non-coding RNA is filed under the name Homo sapiens (human). Its description in RNAcentral is "long non-coding RNA NONHSAT258074". The record is from RNAcentral. Lineage: Eukaryota; Metazoa; Chordata; Mammalia; Primates; Hominidae.
CGAGUCUUGACUUCGCAGCCUCCAAUUUCAGCCGCGGUGUGGAGGGGGGUGCUUUGGGUGGUCCCCACAGCCUUUCCGGAGUGCCCGCGCGUGUAAGCUUUUGAGAUUUGACAAUUUGUGAAGUGCUUGGUGCUGACUUUCGGGGACGACAGGAUCCUUUUACAGUCAUUCUCCUGUCAGGGGAGGCAGGUGGGGAGCGAGGAAGGAUCCAGAUUUCGUUAACAGAGCUUUGAGUUUAAAGAAUUGACAAACUCCCGAGUUGAUUUCCUGUCAGACCUUUUGCGGUUGAGACAUAGAGUCUGAGGCUUUGAUGGUAACCGCGUUUGAUUUAGAGACAGACUGUGCAGCUUCGCUGUUUUAUUGUAAAUACGUAAAUGAGGAG